This 9233-nucleotide long non-coding RNA is filed under the name Gallus gallus (chicken). The record is from RNAcentral. Lineage: Eukaryota; Metazoa; Chordata; Aves; Galliformes; Phasianidae.
AAUAACAGAUAAUAGGGACAAACAGUCAUUUGUAAUGGGCACGAUAAUUGCAAAAUUGCAAUUGAUAUGAAUGCAAUAUGAGCAUUAAGAGCUCAUAAAUUUGUGACUUCUAACAUGAGUCUGAAAUUCUAACAUUUUGGUGUAUUUAAAAUAGCAUACCUUCUUUUCUGGGACAUGCUGUAGCAAAGUGAUGUUCUAUAAGCCCUGAUUUCUCAAUGAACCAUUUAAUCUGUAGGCUGUUAUAUCCUCCCUAUCAUUCUUCUGCAAAAGAGUAUUGCAGGAAAUAUCAGACACUCGUUAGAUCGAGCUGCUAAUCUCAAAGUGGAAUGGAAAGCCUUCUCUAAACAAAAGGAAAAGACCGUAUAACUUCCUUAAGCGAGUAAUCCCACUGAUUUUUAUUAACAGGGCAUAUAUGUAGAAACUAAACUAUUACAUAUUUUUUCAUGUAUGGAAUUUGUUACCACAGGCAUAUAAAAAGUGUGCAGACAUUGCUCUAGAUUGCUGGUUAUUUUUUUUAAUGCUGCUUUAUCUUCAUAAAAAAUCUUGAAAAUGUCAGCGUUUGAUAGCAAAGCAGUAUUUUCAACUAUCUAACAAAAUGUCUUUCUUUUAUUAUCAGUAGUUAUUCUACAAACAGCCCAUGAAUUUAGGCUCACUUUAUUCUGCACUGUACUCUCAGUGCAUCUGAAAAAUCGUAGGUUCAAUAUAUGUAGUGGUUAAUUGCGUUCUACUGCGAUGAACUGAUGUUCAGUUUUAUAUUUGCUAUCCAUUGCCCUGUGUAAAUUGAGUACUUAACGUCAGGUUAUACGUUGCUUCUAUAUCAUAGCUCUGAAUUUUGCCCUAGUUUUAGAUUUUCUCCUAGUGACUCGUAAUUGAAAUGGUGAUACAUGUAGACUAAAAUGGAAGUUCCCCAACUUUCAGUUGUGAAGCAUCUAUAGCUUGAGAUACUUAUUGACCUCAAAAUUAACAGUAUCUGAUGUUUUCCUCCCUGGGUGUUUUCUUCUGGCCCACGACGGUAUAAUGCAAAGAGUAUGGCAGCAUACUCUGAAGAAGCUUGCUUGCUUGCUCACCUACCAAAUGGACUGCAAUUACGUUAGUGUGGUGCUUGAUCUUAACAAGAUAGUUCAUCCACUCGCCUGAUGUCAUGAUAAGACUGCUGUGCCAACUGAGCUAGCUCAGUGUGAUUGACAUUGUAGCUUAAGCUUUUUACAAAGGGGGCAGAAGAAACACCUCAUUUCCAUUCAUGUUUCUUCUGCCUCCUUUGAAAUUAACACAGGUUUACAACAGCAGCAACAAAAAAGCCAAGGUGACAGGGCAAUAGUAUACUUUUCUAUAUACUGGACUUUUAAGUUGUAGUCCAGAAUCUGAGUAUCACUGCUGUACUGUGCCAUCCAUCUCAUACACCUGUGCUUGAUCUUCCAAGUGCACGUUUCCAAUGAGCUUCUGAAAAACAAACUGAUUUCAUUAUUUUUGGUCAGAAUUUGAAUUCUCAGGAAGGCAUAUAACAGUCCAUACACAGCUGCCAGAACAGCAGUUUUUGAAGCUGUAAAUCUGUCUGGAAUGAUCUGGGCUCAGUGGUUUUUGCUGGCUGAAUGGAACCUUGUUUCUGCUGAGCACUCUUUUGUGUUGUUUUUAUCGUUACGUACCUUCUGCUUUACUAAAAGCUUCUCAAACACCAAAGACAAAUUUUGUCCCAAGAACAUUUCCGUAUGUCAGAAAUUCUGGAUCAGAAGUCUUAAAGUUUGGAGAAAAAAAAAAAAAAAGUGUGUAUCCUAAUGGAAGCAAAAUAAAGGGAAUGAGUGGGGGGGGAAAAAAACACCCUUGGUAUUACAUGGGGAACUCCAUCUUUAAGAGCAACUGUUGUAUCGGGACAUGGUAUGCAUCACUGCUAGCUCUUGACAGGUUCACCAUGGAGAGACACAAAUUAAAUUCUUUCAGUUGCGGUUUUGAAGCUAAAAGUGUUUGACUACUUCAGCCCCUGAAUGGUGUUUAAGGAAUAAAGAGAAAAAGAGCAGGAAGUUCUAAUUGGCAAAUUACUUCUUGUUAUUUAGUUUGGCUUCCAAAUUGGAAAUUACGAUAAUGAGGAGCUUUGUGGGACUUGCCCUUGAAGAGGGCCAGGCAGCUUUUUGUUCAAUUACCACUUAAUGUGAAGAUAUUCAAGGAACAUAUUGUAGCAUUUAAGCCAUCACUUUCUAUUAAACAAGUAUUCUAAGGUAAUGAUUUUUAAAUCUCUCUUUGUGGAUGGCUUUUGUGAUUUCAAGAUGUCUAAGUAAAGUGUAGGAUGCAAACAAGGGCUAAAAGGAUUUUCUGACAAAGUAAUAUUUAGCAGAGGGGCUUUAAAUAUAUUUCUCAAGAUGUAAUGAAGACUAGACAGUGUUGUAUGCAGUGAUACGAUGACUUAAUGCUGUAACUGUCAGGGCGAAUGUGUACGUUUAUCAAUGUUUUCAUUAAUUCUGUUAUUUCCUUUACAAUUUCUUAAUGCAUCUUAUUCUUAACUGAAAGUGAUAUUAUUGAGAAGGAUCUGAUCCUGGAAAUAUAAAUAUAUAUAUAUAUAAGUGCUGUUAGCUUCAAUUUUUGUCUUGUAGCUGAAGGUCUGAAACUUCAUCUGUUUGAUGUUAUAUAUACAGGAAAGAUAUCUGAAAAAAAGAGGUGAUAUAAAAACUAAGCAUUUUGAGAGGAAUAUAGUGUGACUACUUAAUUUUUUAAACAUGCUUCUAAUAAUAUUUUUUUGGAUAAUUAGAGUGCAACAACAACAACAAAAAAAACCCCAAAACAGCUUAUGAUUUCACAGCCAGUGGGCUGGGACUGUAUUCUGUGACCUGUUCUCCCUUUUUUGUGCUUUCUUAGUGCAAAUUACUCAUUCCUUUUCUUUGACGUAAGAUGAUCUGUUUUUUGCAAUUUUGACUGCUUUUUAUUCUGUAGAGUAGGCUGCAGACAAACUUAAUAUAAACCUCUAGAUUUGGUCCUGAGCAAAGAAGCAGUGUAGACAAACCACUUAGCAAGUUUCAUUCAAAGUCUAAAAGCAAAAAAUUAUGUAAUAAUGCUUUGAAUGGACAACUUAAAAACAACAUUCAUAAACUAUUAAGAGCAUUUCACACAUGCAUGUAUUUUCUUGCUUAUGUUUAUGUAAUCAACCCUUCCAAAGUUGCAAACUCAGAAUAAGCAAUUCUAACUAUUUGACUUUUCACUUAUCUACAUUCACAUUAAUUAGAGUGCUUGAAAGUGAAAUAGUGGAAGGGAGUUAAUUUGUUCAGCAUGUUUCCUUCUGAUGUAGUUCCUUUCAACCCAAAACUUGGCCUAAAGCAACUGCACUUAAUACCACUUUUUAAAAAGCCUUUUUAAACAGAGGCAUGCAGUAGAAACACAGUUCCUGAACUCUAGCAGUGCUGCUGGAUACUGUUCUCAGACUGCCUAUUAUUGCUUCUGUUUGAGUGGAUGACCAGUGGAUGAUUCAUAGUCUUGGCCUCCUGUCCAGCACAGAGAGCUGUUUGAGAGCAAACCCACAGGCAAUUUAGUUCAUGUUUUCCCUUUGGGUUAAGCUGGUCCAGGAACAAGAUAAUCAAUCAUUUAAAAAUUUAAAAAACAAACAAGUUACUGUUGUGUAUGCUGUUUUGUUAUAUUUAUGUUAGAGUGUGAGCAUACAAAUGUACACCCAUGUGUAUAUGAAUAAAGAUCUGUAUGUAUACAUACAUGAUGCUAGUAAAAGAAAUGUCAGCAGAUUGUAGCAGAAAAGUACUUCAUUUCUACAGUGGUAACUAAAAAUAAUCUUUGGAAUUGUCCCUGUAAAAGCCAGACAGUUCAUAGUAAGGGCAGGGAAGGGCCUCUAGAUAACGUGUGCUGACCUUCUGUCUAUCACAGGCAGCAUAUUUUGCUCAGAGACUGUAAUGAAAGUAUUUUGGUCCUUGGGAGACUAUAUCCCAUAAGCUGCAAGCAAAGCAGGGAAGCUUUCAGUAAUGUUUGAAUUCUCUGUAUUGACUGGGUUAUAUGAAAUGUGCCCAAGUGUCCCCUGGGAAAGCCCCUGUUCUGUACUGGAGGGGGGGGAACUAAUAAAACAAAUCAAAGGCCCUUGUUCAUCUAGCACAAGGGAAGCCUUUCCAUCUGUGGAUGGUGUGGUUGUUGAUUAUACCUUCAGCAUGUGAACUGGUACGUACCAGUCAGGUAUCCAGAGGUGGAUUCCAGUUUUGCUUCAUUUUCCAUCUGCUUUGAACCUGUGACCAAUCUCUCAUGCUCUAUGUGAAGGCCUGCCUGAAUGCAGGAAACUGCAAAGCAGUAUUUGUUGCUGAUCUUUCCAACAUCUGGCUGAAGCCCUGAAGCGUGAGAUUCAGCCAUGGUGUAAAGCUGCAAAGUGUUAUGAGGAUUUGGAGGUCAGCAAGGCAAUCUUCUUCUCCCCUUUUGGCCCUUACUAGAUGGAGAUAAGCAGAGUGUCAUAGAUCAUGAUGUACUGAAGCUGAAAAGGGCAACCAUAGCCUUGCAGUAUGGCCCUUCACAAGCAGACCAUUGUGGUGACUGUUUUUUACUAUUCCAGGAUACAGAGAAUGCAAAUAUCAUGGAUAUUGUAUCUUCUUUAGAAUCCUGGUACCAUCUUACAAAGUUUAAGAUGCAUGUUGAUAAAAGUAAACAGUACUUUCAGAAGACCUUUCUUUAGUAGUCAAGAGAGACCUUGACAGUAUGUGUGUUGUUGACAGUUCACUUGAUCUUGGCAGUUUUCUCUGCCAAAUCUUAGUGCGGCGUUGGGUAUGAAUGUAUUCUGCUAGUGGAGCACAGUCAUGGCUAACCUGAAUAACUGUGUUAAAAGUCAGAGCAUGAAGAUGUUAAUAAAUUAUUCCAUCUGAGAUGUUUGGCUUCCUCCUAAUAUGGCAUUUCUAGAUAUUUUUUUUUUUCAAAUUGGUGUGUUCGUUUCUGAAUCAGCAGAAGGCAGCAUACAAAACAGGCUUUUUGGCUUGUUUUCAGGUGAUGCUUUAUCACUCUAAGCUUUGCUGUUUUAGACAUCUUAGUUGGAUGGUGUUUGGAGUACCACACCAUCUAACAUACUGGAGCAUGUUUCCAUGUUCUCAGAUAUCCUCGUGACUGUUGCUAAAAGAAAAUAUAUAUAUAUAUAUUUAGCUUACCAAUAAGACAAUUAAAUUUAAAGUUGGUAGUUCUAAGUAUCUUUCUGAAGAUGUUGUACUGAUGUACUUCUGUUGUAGACAUGAAAGAAAGAACACAAGCCAUAUGACAGUUAAAAUAGCAGAAAUCCAAAAAUAAAGCAUAAAAUAAAUAAGAUGAAGCAUUGGAGCUUAACAUCCAAGAGAAAUGAUGCAUCUCCAUUUCCAGUGCUAUCUUUUUAGGACCAGAUGUCUGUCAUGAAAACACUGUGGUAGAACAUAAGCCGUGGUGUGUAGUGCAGAGGCAGAUCAUAGAAGAGGCACUACCUGAAGAGGAGUAAUACAAAAUAACUUUCUAGCUUUGGCACUCCAAAAACACAGUAUGUGAAAUAUUUUUCAGGCAUAAUUCUGCAGUUUGUUUUUCCUUUCAACCCAAAACACAACUGUAAUACGUCUUCACAUUUAAAUCAAAAGAAAUGAUAGAGAACUGAGGUUUUUUUUUAAUCCUCUGCUUAGUAGUCACUUACGUGAUGUGUAACUUCAGUUCUUUGUUUCUACCUAGAACUAAUGUAUGAGGAAAAUGGAAUGUCUCAUGUCUCUGCUGAAACAAAAGUGAGAUAGAGGAAUUGUUGUUUUCCCAAAAGUUGAUGUCGCACAUCUUUCACAUAAGCUUGAGUUCUGAAUGCAAAAUGCGGUAUGCAAAUCAUCGCCUUCUACUGUGAUGCUAUUUUUGAGAGGUUCAUUAUGUCAGUACGCACCAUUCAUUUAUAUAUCUUCUGGGAUUAUUAUAAAGUGAAGAUGAUUAAUCAUACUAUCAGUAAUCCUAGCGCAACUCUUCUGCUGCACAACAUAAAGCAAAACUGAAUUUCACAGGGGCAGUGAAGCAACAGCACACUGUCUUGCAAGAUAGGCCUGUUAAAGUAAAGACCUGUCACAUCUAAUUUAUUGAGUGAGGCACACAACUUUGGAGCCAAGAGGCUGGCUUUAAUACACCUUUAAUCAUGUUGUAUCAUUCUUUCCAAAAUAUAACUGUUGAAAUGCAGUGUGCUGCAUCAUCUUCUGGCAAGCAAAGAAGGUGCAAAGCAAAGAGAACCACAGAACUGUGCACCUUUUGUGGCUUAUAUUCUGGCUAGUGCACAUGUAGUCACAAGCUGGUAAACAGCUAGAUGAGAACAGCAGGGGAGCUGCAAUCAUAUAACAAAGAGAGAGCAGUGAAACAAUUCCUUCUUUAGAGUGAAUGAAGCCAGAGGGGCAAGCAAUGGCUAUGAACCUCAUCACUGCAGCAAAGAUUGUACUUCAGACAGCUUCAGAAGAUCUUACUGUCUGCUUAAAUUUCAUUCCCCUUUCCUAUCUAUUUUUUUUUUAAAGAUUGUGCACUGCUGAAAGUAAAACAACAGGCAUUUAAGGGCUUUUGGGCUGCUUGUGGUUAUUGUUGUCAAGCCAGCGCUAAAUCAUACUUAAAAUCAUGACAGAACAUGUCUCAUUUGUGUUUUCAUAGGGAUGGCAUUCCCCUGAAUAAUAAUAAGGAAUGUCUGUAGAAUAUUUGGAGGCAUUAACAAAAAUUACUGUUUUGAACUGCCUAAUUUCUCCCUUUUCUGGGUGUUGCUGUUCUCACCAUAAGAUCAUCAGGAAGGGAAUGUAGGAGCGUGCACCUGCUUUUUGAAUAUCUGACGUAACUGCUGAGGAAGAAAGGUUUGUGCAAGGAUAGAGUCCACACCAUUUCUUUACAAGUGUUUUUUAAUUUAAUUUUUUUUCAUUUUGAUUUUGUUGUGUUUAUUAAAUCAUGUUUUAAUUUCAGACUUUAUUCAUUUGAUAUUGUAUUUUGUCUUUCUUCCUAACUUGCUGUAGUAGUGAGAGUAAGCUGCUGCUUGUCAUCCCUCUUGACUGAGUUGAUAUUUUUAGUGAAAAGGACUGAUUAAAAAAAAAAUAAUCAGUUGUCUUGGAAAUGAAGUGGCUAAAGUUUAGUCUGUGUUUUUGUAUUGUUGUAACAGACAAAGCAGACAUAUUGUGUGAAAAUAUAAACUAACCACAUUCCAGCAAAUCAGUACUGUAAAGUUUUUGUUUUUAAAAAGACAACAAAACAAGAAAAAAACCCCAUCAACUAAACUAUAUUUUCCAUUGUAAGUCCUAAAAAGUCUUUUUUGCUUGGUCAGGUAUCUGAGUAGGUGGAUGGAGGAAAGAAAAAAAAUAUUUUCAACUUAGGAAAAUCUCAUAAAACUACCUCUCAUAACUUUAGGGGGAUGGCAGGGGCAUUGUAAAGAGCAUUUAAUGCAUGUCUAUGGAAAAAGAUACCAGUAGAGAAAAUUUCUGCAGAAACAUUAAGAACAGUAAAUUGUAUUGAGAGCUGACUGUUGCUGACUUACCUGUAUCUUAAGUGACUGUAUAGCAACAGAAACGAAUAUAAAGCAUGGAUAAAAACAAGGGCUAUGCUUUCAGGAGGUGCAGGGGCCAAGAAACUGGGACUUUCUUUCAAGAACAGGCAUGACACAGCCCAUGAAAGAUUUAAUAAGAUGUGUGUUCCACCUGCACAGACAAAAAGAUGUCAUAACUGUAGGUUGCUUUCCUGUAUUUUAACUGUGCAAGCUCUUCCCAGCUUCUGCUGAGCUGUGUGUCACCAAUGUUGUUCAAUGCUUCUUGAAUACCAAAUUCCCCCUUCUCAUUGCAUUGUUCUUCUUUUGUGUGCUUCUUUUGAAACACAAUUAGCUGAGGAGUAAAUACCAUACAGUAUAAUUCUCCUUUGAUUGUUUUCAGUAGUGAAGUCCCAACUCAGUUUAAUUAUUUGAUGCACCUACUAGCAUAAAACUUUAGUUCUCUUUUAAUGCUUUACUAGCUUUAACAAUUUCUUACUUUUCAAGAGAAGUGUAUUGUGUCAUUGUUAUUCCCUGAAUUAAAGUCUGUGUAUGUGCAUCUUCAUGCCCCAUGUAUAUGUACAGUUGGUUGUGAUUUAAUCUGGCAGGCAUUUAAGCACUGCACAGCUGUUUCCUCACUCUCCUGUAAUGGGAUGGGGAAGAGGAUGAAAAGAGAUGAAACUGUGAGAGCUCAUCAGUUGAGAGUGCUGGAAGGAUGAGUUCUGUAUGUAGUCUAAGGAUGCAGGGUCCAAGAGGAACUCUGUAAAUGAACAGGCUUGGAGAGAUAGCUGAAAUGCUUCCCACUAUUUAAAGCAAACUGGAGUAUAAAGCCGAUACCCGCAAUGGUAAGUUCUCAUUUCUAAUAGAAAGAGCUUUGUAGUCACUUAAGUAGCAAUUCUGCAUGAAGUUCAGCAACAGUAGAAGUUUCCAGAUGCUUGAUACUGAAUGUUCAGAAGUUUUAGCAUUGUGAUUUUGUUUGCACUGUGUUUGUGCUCAACUUUUUAGCCAAGCUUGUUAUAGUUGAUGACUAAGGCCAUUCAGCAGCUUCACUAUGGAGUUCCAUGAAUGCUAAUUUCUUCUGCUGAGAAGCGCAGAAUUCCAUGCCAACAAAGUUAUAUUGAAUCCUCCACCUGCUGUCAGUUCACUUAGAGCUAGAUCCUGUAUUUACUUUUGGGCCUUAGGCUCUUUUGAAGAUCCAACCUGAACUGUAAUUCAAGAACAAGUUUAUCCUGGCACUUAUUCAAUGUUAAGUACUUCGAAAUCUAUUUUAGAAUGUUCAGUGAUUAUUGAACAAUUAAUCUCUUUGAAUAUUUAAUAUUGAUGUAGAGUGGGCUAACACACAUCUGGACGUGUACCUGUGAAAACAUUUACAUAUGCACAUAAACACUCAGAGUGUAAGCCUGCAAAACACAACUUUUUAUAGCCAGUAGCAUACUGAGUUUCAUGGAGUCAUUAUAAUGCCAGUAAGUCCCACAGGCAGAAUUCUGUGGAACUAUUAUUGUAUAGCAGUGUCAUUAUACAGUAUUUGAUGUUCUUGGUGCACACAGAGGUGAUGAUGACAUUGAUGCAAACAGUUAAGCUGGUUAGUCAUUUGUGUAUUGAAUGUUAUGUAUCAACGUGCCUUAUUGUUUUAAGUCAAAGGGCUGUUAUAUUUUAUGGUAUUUACUCUUUUGCUAAUUGUGGUUCAAAAGAACAAUACAAUGAGAAUGGGGAAUUUGUUAUUCAAGAAGCACUGAACAACACUGGUGACACACAGCUCAGCAGAAGCUGGGAAGAACUUGCACAGUUAAAAUACAGGAAAGCA